UGAAGAUUGAAACAUUGACACCAUUAAGGAAUCACAAUAUACCAAAUACAAAAACUUCCAAUACAAUAUCACCUCUUUCAAGAAAGUUUCUCAUAAUAUGAUACAAAAGCCAUAUUAUAAACUGAGCCCACCAUAAACCUACCGUUUUUGGGUUGUUCUAUUCUAGCUAAGGUGUGAUGGUUUCAGUUAUGAUGGGGUUUUAGUAAGUAAAAUAUUCUAUGAAAAUCAAGACUAAGAAGAGUACUAUACUUGCAUGCCUCAAAGUUUCAGUCGAUGUUGAGGUACAAAAGCUUCUAUACUAUUUUUUCCGUGAGGGAAUUGGAUAACUUGCAUCCAUAAUUUUUUAGAUACUAGUAUCAUUACUUUUAUGAAAAAGUCUCUAUGAUUCCAGCUAAUCUGUUGUAUAUAAACACAAAAAAGACACUCAAAUGGCUGCACCCUAUCAAAUUCAUUAGAAGGCAUGGCAAGAUGGAGCAAAAUUACUUCCAGCCAUCUUUGGGACAACUCGUGUAUUUUCUUUUGGUUGUUACAUUGCGAGGAGUCUCAGGUACUAAAGUCACAAAAGCGAGGGAGACUUGAGGGCAUCACACACGUGCACCCUGUGAAAGCUCAAAACUUUCUAAACUUUUGAGACGAUAAUUCCCACUGUCUGAAAUCUUGACACGCAAAGAUUUCUAAGCUUUAAAUACGAUAGUUCCCAAUCUGAAAUCUUGACACAAAUAGCACAUAAAGACAUCAACCUUUAAAUCUACCAUUAAAAUGCACAAACACACAUAACAAAGCCAAACAGACAUGCUUGAAAAAUUGAAAGCUUUCAGAUACAUAAAACCCCAACUAGAAAACAACAAAUCUCGGGUACACCAUCAACACCAAAAUCAAAGUCAACUUUUUUGUAACAUACCCACACAGAUUUAAUUAAUUCUCAAUACAUCCAAACAUUAAAUUUGCUAGAAAUAACUUCUUUAAAAUUGAACUUUAUAAAAAACGAUAAUCAAAUUAAAAAGAACACGCAAGAGAUCUGGUAAAAACAACAAAAAACCAGAUAGAAAUCCGUAACAAGAAAAAAAAAAUAAAAACAGAGAUAGACCUUGCAAGGGCGGUUCUUAAUGACUAUGUAACCAUUCUUACGGAUGGUACCAGCUUGCUGAGGGUAAGUCUUGGAGGCUCCUGCAUCAGCCUUGGAUUCAAAGUGGUGCUCCUCGUCCGACAUGAUGAUUUAGUUAGGCUUGGAUCGAUUCACUCUCAAGCAGAAAAAAGAAGAACAGGUGAAAGAGGACGAUGACUCUGAAG
RNAcentral lists this long non-coding RNA (1290 nucleotides) under Populus trichocarpa (black cottonwood). RNAcentral's name for it is "long non-coding RNA (PTRI_LNC001836)". Lineage: Eukaryota; Viridiplantae; Streptophyta; Magnoliopsida; Malpighiales; Salicaceae. The record is from RNAcentral.